AAACGACUCUCGGCAACGGAUAUCUCGGCUCUCGCAUCGAUGAAGAACGUAGCGAAAUGCGAUACUUGGUGUGAAUUGCAGAAUCCCGUGAACCAUCGAGUUUUUGAACGCAAGUUGCGCCCGAAGCCUUCCGGCCAGGGCACGUCUGCCUGGGCGUCACGC
RNAcentral lists this ribosomal RNA (162 nucleotides) under Iresine arbuscula. RNAcentral's name for it is "5.8S ribosomal RNA". It matches the Rfam family "5.8S ribosomal RNA". Rfam says of the family: 5.8S ribosomal RNA (5.8S rRNA) is a component of the large subunit of the eukaryotic ribosome. It is transcribed by RNA polymerase I as part of the 45S precursor that also contains 18S and 28S rRNA. RNAcentral also lists the same sequence under 1 other name. Lineage: Eukaryota; Viridiplantae; Streptophyta; Magnoliopsida; Caryophyllales; Amaranthaceae. The record is from RNAcentral.